Molecule: long non-coding RNA, 4450 nt
Organism: Leopardus geoffroyi (Geoffroy's cat)
Lineage: Eukaryota; Metazoa; Chordata; Mammalia; Carnivora; Felidae
Exons: 2
Source: RefSeq, a predicted model, not a curated record
GCUGUGCUUUCUGCCAGGAACAAGUUUUCCCCUACAAUCCCCAUGACUCACUCCCUCGCUUCCUUCAGGUCUUUGUUCAAAUGUCACCUUCUCAAAUGCUGCCUUCCCCGAUGCCCACCCCCAUCCUCUGCUCUCCCCAGUUCCUGGCCUCACUCUGUUUUCUCCACUAACACUUUAACACUUUGUUCCACAAGAUCCGGGGGUUUUGUCUGUUUGGCCUCUGUCACCAGUGUCUCCAAAUAUGUGCGAUCGGCCUUCAGUGAAUGUGUGUUGAGUAAAUGAAUGAGUGAAAAGCUAGCACAAAAACCGGGCAGUCGGGGAGGGCCCCUCGUACCCUGCUGACCAGGAAGCUGAUGAAGCACGAGAGAAGGUGAUUUAUGUUUUAUCACUAGUCCUCUGGCUAUUUGAGGCAGAAUGGCUUGGAAAGAACUGAGUGUGGAAGAGGGGAGGGGGACAAGGUAGAAGGCCAUUGCAGUGGCCGAGGCAGGGAGAUCAGGGGGACGGGGCGCUGGAGGAGAGUGGGCGGUGGGGAGCCGCUUGGGAGGUGGAGCAGAGAAGACUUGGGCUUGCACACCUGGGCUCUGGAGCCAUGGUCUCCGCGGCUUGAGUUGGGGCAGAUGGGAGGACGAAGGAGUAGGGGGCAAGUCAAGCGGCCCCCUCUCCAACUCUGCCCCAUCGUGGACCUCUGGAGCCCCGAAGCAGCUUGCAGAGAGUCUCAGUGUGGCUGGAAGGGUGUGCCACCUGGGAAGCCCUGCCCAGUUGGGCCUUGACCCCUGCCGAGUCCUUGGGGAGCCUGGGGCUUGCCGGUUACACGAAGAGCAAGGGGUGUGCCCACCCCCGCCUCUGGGAAACUUGUGCUCAAGCCCUGCUGGGGUGCGUCGGGAUGGGAGGGGAACAGACCUGCCCUUUCCCACCCCCUCUCUCCUCUGCAGCACCCACUGCUCCAACCUGACCUACCUGGCUCAGCUGACUAAAGUGUCCACAGGGGUGAGAUGCAAGUAAUUAACUAGCAGAAGCUCUGAAGCUCCCCAGAUAAUGAUCGGCCCCGAAGACACCCGCGUCAAACCUUAUCCAUAGAGUUGGAAGGAGGAGGAGGAUCAGGCUCCCCAGAAUCCUGAACCCAGCAGGUGACAGACACCCAAAAUCCAGUCCAGCACCCUUCUCCAAGGGCUCUGUCCCCACUUCCAAGGCUACCAAGAGUGGCCCCUGACGAGCCCAUGGGCCACCAAACCAUGUCCGGUCUCUUCGAGGUUUGCACCUUCUCAGUGUCCCCCACUUGCCCUCCUGUCCCCACCUUCCCAUUCCCCAGACAUACUCUGAUCCCAUUCCCACUCUGCCUCCUCCAUGAAGUCACCCCUGGCUGCCUCGCCUUCUUUGUGUUUCUUUUCUGGGUUCUUUAUCAUCUGCAUCCUUAUUUCGGCUUUUGGGGCUGUUGUGUUUCAUCUGCUGGCUUUUUAAUUCCUAUAGGCUGAAGGGUACGUUUCACAUGCCCACAGAGUGGUGGUGGUGAGAGCAGACCGAAGGUGCGUUCCAGUCCCACCCGCUACUGUGUGACCUUGGGCAAGGAACUUCUCUGUGCCUCGUUGAUAAAGAGGCUACUCAUGCCCACUUGAGAGGUUCCUGGAAGAAUUAAAUGGAACGCUCUUUGCAAAGAACCCAGCCUGGUGUCUUGUGCUCAGUAGGGACUCCACACAUGCCAGCUAUUCUUCCAGUAUGACAAAUCUCCAUAUCUGACAUUGCACCAGGCAUUCAGUAGGAGCCCAACUCAGAUCACCACUGCAGGACUGCAAAAGCACAAGGCUGAUCUCUCAUUUCCUCAGAGCCUGAGCCAGCAAAGAGACAACAGGUCAAGUUCACAGAGAAGUGUAGAAAUUGACCUUGGACCCCUCUCAAGGGGCGGAGAGAAACUUUCUCACAAAAAUGUUUGCUAUUCCUCCCAUCCUUUUCCUCACAGACAUCCCCAAAGCAAGAGCAGUCUCUGGGGAACCCUCUCCUUGAAAGACAGAUCCCAUGUGACCUGUUGCAGUGACUGAGGCUCUAUCGAAGACUGGUGUGGUCACCAUGACCCCUCCCUUAUUGACCUUCAGGCCUCCAGGUCCUGGACCCAACCAUUUUAUAUACAUAUGUCUCCUGUCAUCGUCACAAAAACCUCAUUCUACAGGUGAGGAGACUGAGGAUUGGCAAGGUUAAGAAACUUGCUCAAGGUCACACAGCUGGUGAGUAGCAGAACCAAGAUGUCCACUCAGUUUGACCUCUACCAGUCCAUGCUCCUGCCUCUGGGCCACUCCCUUUUGAAGUGAGGCAGUCACUGGCUUAGAAUCUGGGCCAAGUGAUAGACCCUCCUGCUGGAACCUCAGUCUCAUCCCUUCCUAGACAGAGGGAGGAACGGCCACCCUCCCACUGCCCAGGUGAGGGCUUUUGGAUGGGGGCAGGAAGAGAGUAAAGGGUAAAAAAAAAAAAAAAAACAACAAAACUCAUUUAUGGCUAACCAGAUUUCUGUCUUGCAGCAAUUUAUAUCCAUUUCCCCUAAUUUAGGCAACUCUGAAUAUGAGAAAAGCAUUCAGCCGUUUGAAGAAUGCUAUUCAACUCAUGACAAAGAACAAUUCUUUUGAAUCUGUGAGAAUUUUCUGGAAGUCACAUGUCAUUUUCACUUUCACCUAUUAAAAUUGAAGCUUACAUUCAGCUUUUUAAAAAAACUCCUCAGUUUGCAGAGGCAGCCAGCAGCCAGUGGCGCAGGCCGGGUCUCGGGCCCUUGCCAGAGGUCGUCACUCUCUGGAAGCACCGACCAGCUCAGCAGACCACAGCCUUGGGCUCAGACAUGAAUUGACCUUGAAAGAAAGAAAGACCUGCACAAAGAUCAUAAUGAACCAACAGAAAAUAUUCAACAUCCGUCAUUAUCUCCACUUACGUGGAGCUUGGGAGCGGGAUGUGGCACAUUCCAAGAGCUGCUUUAGGGAAAACCAAGCCACGAGGAGAUGGCGUUCCUGGGCUGGACGGGAGCCUGAGGCCUGGAUGGGGCCUGCUUUCCGCACAUCUGCUUCCCUCAUAAGGGAUCCCUGACUCCCAGGCUCUGCCAGGCGGAAAGCAAACCAGCCCUGGGCUAGGGGCCAGAGCAAGGACUUACCUGGAAGAGACAUCUGCUAAGCAAUUUGACCAAACGCAAACGCUGCUAGUUUAAUGAUCAUAAUUUCCUACAGCAGAUUCCCCCAGCACCUCCGCUAUCGUGUUAGUGGAAUCAUUUUUCAACUUACUAGGUACAGAGGAGACCCAGUGCACAGGGCCAGGCCAAGGGUGUGUGUGCAUGUGCGUGUGUGUGUGCAUGCGUGCGUGUGUGUGUGUGUGUGUGUGUGUGAGAAAAAUGCCUGCAUUUUUCAGGAGUGAGGAUAUUUGCAUAACACAGAUAUCUUUGCAGAUACCAGACAAACAGGAAGUUUCAGAACUGAUGCCAUUUCCUUUCAUUGUGAAUCAGCAGCCUCUCUCUUCUCACACAGAAAUGGUGAAAAUCACAGGGUCCAGCCCUGGAACAUGAAGUGCGAGAGAAGAGCACGAAAGCAUCAGAAGUCACCUUCUCUGGUGGGGUGCUUCCCUGGGCGCCCACCUGCACUCCUCAGGCCAUCCCCUUCCAGCUACCCAGCUUCCUGGAGCGCUUCAAGAUAUGUUUGGAUGCCCACCCUAAACACAUUAGCAAACCAGUCUUCAUCCACACAACCUAUGUUAUACCAGUGCUUGGGAUGGGGCCCAACCGGCUCUAGGGGGACCUCCCUCGUCCUUGUUCCCGGCCCCAGGACUGUAUCCCAGAGGAGCUCUGUGAAGUAACACGCCCUGGAUGUGGCACCAGAAAACCUGGGCUCAGAUCCCUGCUCCAACCAGAGAGGCCCUGGGCAAGCCACUUUCCCCUACGAGCCUCAGUUUCCCUAUCAGUUACAUGGGACUGAUAGUGGCUCCCUGCAUGUUUGUAAUAAUAAUACAAGCACAAGGCAAGAAAUAUAAGGCAGCAAAUAAAAGCACAGAAUUUGGAGUCGGAUAUCUGAGUUCAAAACCCAGCUCCAGUGUGUACUAGGCCGUGAUGCUUGGGGCAAAUUGCCUAACUUUGCCAAAUGUUAAUUUGCCCAGUUAUAAAAUGGAGGUAACGACAGUCUGUUGAGAGGAUUCAGAGAUAUGACCACCUUGCACAGAGCAGAGUCUGGCUCACAGGAAAUUCUCAACAACAUGAACCAGUUUUCCUGCUGCCCAGCCCCCCCCUCCCCUCCCCCGGCAGCACUCCUCCUUCCUCCAGCGCCUCCAGGUGCUGUAAGAUCCCGGAGGUGGAGACCACUGCAUGCCUCGCUGGUGAGGGUCCAGCACCUGGCUUAGCCCGUAAUAAAUCAGCUGAAUGAAUGAAUGGAUGCCCCUGGUGCGUAGCAGGUGCUGAGGAAAUCUAUCCGUAUAAAAUAAAUUUAUACGAAAGCCA